UACAGAGGUGGCAAGCGUUGUUCGGAAUUACUGGGCGUAAAGGGUGCGUAGGUGGGCAAGUAAGUCAGUGGUGAAAUCUCCGGGCUUAACCCGGAAACUGCCAUUGAUACUAUUUGUCUUGAAUACUGUGGAGGUCAGCGGAAUAUGUCAUGUAGCGGUGAAAUGCUUAGAUAUGACAUAGAACACCAAUUGCGAAGGCAGCUGGCUACACAAAUAUUGACACUGAGGCACGAAAGCGUGGGGAUCAAACAGG
RNAcentral lists this ribosomal RNA (253 nucleotides) under uncultured bacterium. RNAcentral's name for it is "partial 16S ribosomal RNA". It matches the Rfam family "Bacterial small subunit ribosomal RNA", at positions 524 to 776 of the family's 1533-position model. The record is from RNAcentral.